GACGAACGCUGGCGGCGUGCCUAAUACAUGCAAGUCGAGCGCAGGAAGCUGACGGAACUCUUCGGAGAGAAGGCAGUGGAAUGAGCGGCGGACGGGUGAGUAACACGUAAGGAACCUGCCUCAAGGAUUGGGAUAACUCCGAGGAAUCGGGGCUAAUACCGGAUAGUUCAACGGACCGCAUGGCCCGCUGAUGAAAGGCGCUUCGGCGUCACCUUGAGAUGGCCUUGCGGUGCAUUAGCUAGUUGGUGGGGUAACGGCCCACCAAGGCGACGAUGCAUAGCCGACCUGAGAGGGUGAUCGGCCACACUGGGACUGAGACACGGCCCAGACUCCUACGGGAGGCAGCAGUAGGGAAUCUUCCACAAUGACGAAAGUCUGAUGGAGCAACGCCGCGUGAGUGAUGAAGGUUUUCGGAUCGUAAAACUCUGUUGUAAGGGAAGAACACGUACGAGAGGGAAUGCUCGUACCUUGACGGUACCUUACGAGAAAGCCACGGCUAGCUACGUGCCAGCAGCCGCGGUAA
Molecule: ribosomal RNA, 523 nt
Filed under: uncultured bacterium
Lineage: Bacteria
Description: partial 16S ribosomal RNA
Rfam family: Bacterial small subunit ribosomal RNA
Source: RNAcentral